This 744-nucleotide ribosomal RNA is filed under the name uncultured bacterium. Its description in RNAcentral is "bacterial SSU rRNA". It matches the Rfam family "Bacterial small subunit ribosomal RNA", at positions 28 to 776 of the family's 1533-position model. The record is from RNAcentral.
GAUGAACGCUGGCGGCAUGCCUAAUACAUGCAAGUCGAACGGACCAUUUCGGUGGUAAGUGGCGAACGGGUGAGUAACACGUAGGUAACAUAUCCAUACGACGAGGAUAACGGCUGGAAACGGCUGCUAAGACUGGAUAGGAAUAUAGGAGGCAUCUUUAAUAUUUUAAAGGACCUUAGGGUACGCGUAUGGAGUGGCCUGCGGCGCAUUAGCUAGUUGGAGUGGUAAAGGCACCCCAAGGCAAUGAUGCGUAGCCGGACUGAGAGGUUGACCGGCCACAUUGGGACUGAGACACGGCCCAGACUCCUACGGGAGGCAGCAGUAGGGAAUUUUCGGCAAUGGAGGGAACUCUGACCGAGCAAUGCCGCGUGAAUGAAGAAGUACUUCGGUAUGUAAAGUUCUUUUAUUGGGGAAGAACGGCUAGUGGAAAAGCUAGAGUGACGGUACCCAUUGAAUAAGCCCCGGCUAACUAUGUGCCAGCAGCCGCGGUAAUACAUAGGGGGCAAGCGUUAUCCGGAAUUAUUGGGCAUAAAGGGUGCGUAGGCGGCAAGUUAAGUUUAAGGUAUAAGCUCAUGGCUCAACCAUGGGAGGCUUUAGAAACUGGCUAGCUAGAGUGCAGUAGAGGCAAGUGGAAUUCCAUGUGUAGCGGUAAAAUGCGUAAAUAUAUGGAGGAACACCAGUAGCGAAAGCGGCUUGCUGGGCUGUAACUGACGCUGAGGCACGAAAGCGUGGGGAGCAAACAGG